UGCGAGCUGGUAGGUACUCUCUGUGAGU
Molecule: small RNA, 28 nt
Filed under: Bombyx mori (domestic silkworm)
Lineage: Eukaryota; Metazoa; Arthropoda; Insecta; Lepidoptera; Bombycidae
Description: ovarian small RNA-33937
Source: RNAcentral